RNAcentral lists this unclassified non-coding RNA (245 nucleotides) under uncultured Schizothecium. Its description in RNAcentral is "sequence contains ITS2". The stretch from base 1 to 52 matches the Rfam family "5.8S ribosomal RNA", at positions 103 to 154 of the family's 154-position model. Lineage: Eukaryota; Fungi; Ascomycota; Sordariomycetes; Sordariales; Lasiosphaeriaceae. The record is from RNAcentral.
AACGCACAUUGCGCCCGCCAGUAUUCUGGCGGGCAUGCCUGUUCGAGCGUCAUUUCAACCAUCAAGCGCACCGCUUGUGUUGGGGCCCUGCGGCUGCCGCAGACCCCUAAAUCCAGUGGCGGGCUCGUCGUCGUACCGAGUGCAGUAAACAUCCUCGCUCAGGGCACGCGCCGGGUCUCUUGCCGUGAAACACCCCACAUAUCAAGGUUGACCUCGGAUCAGGUAGGAAUACCCGCUGAACUUAA